RNAcentral lists this long non-coding RNA (12016 nucleotides) under Triticum aestivum (bread wheat). Its description in RNAcentral is "long non-coding RNA (TAES_LNC009709)". The record is from RNAcentral. Lineage: Eukaryota; Viridiplantae; Streptophyta; Magnoliopsida; Poales; Poaceae.
UUCCCAUCCAGUUAUGCCGAAUACAAAUAUUAAAAGAUACAAUGGAAGUUUACCUCUCCACGAUGCAUAUAGAUUUUUAAAGCAGCAGCUUCUGUGUGCUAUGAUGGAUUUUGGAUGGAUUCUGAAAUGUUUCUCUUGCAUCCAUAUAUUUCCUUGAUUCGGGUACUUGCUACUCAUCUAGUUUCUUCCAAGGCCAUGCCUUAAAUCUGGUACAUUUAGGAAUUGUAUCUCUUUCCUCUUCCUGUGAGUGUGCAUUAGUUUAACACCGAAUUGCAUUUCAGUUACGUUCGCGUUCUUGACCCCUUCAUAACCUCGCAUAUUAAGGUAGAAUCGCUUAGUUUCAGCAACUUGACCUUUUGUUUUUGUUGUUGGUGAAGAGUAUUAGCGCAAUGUUUGAUAAAUGAACUGAAUAAGUAUAGAAACAGUGAUUCUGAAAGAGGUAUGUUUAUGUGCCUGAUAAAAACAUAUUGGUGAUUGGUGGAGAUGGACUUGGGGUACUUAUAUACAUAUUCUGGAUGCACUAUUUCGUUUUCAUCAUUGAGCAGGCAUCAAGGUAAGGCGGUUGAGUUCACCUGCACAUCAUGAAGGAAGGCAUCAAGUUAACACCGUACACUGUGCCUAUUACUUUACAUUCAUAAAUAAGCAUGUAUAUAUAUCUACAAGGUAGCAGUUAAAGGAUGUUUACUGUCAGUUUAGACAAGCAUGGUCAAGUCAUUAUAGUAAUUUUAGUAGGAAUUCUCUAUUAAUCGCUUAGUGGAAUUAAUCUGGUUGCACAUGACAAUUAUAACCUGAAAGUUAUCUUGAUUAUCUAAAAACAGUUUACAUUUGAAUUAUUCUUCAUAGUUCUUAAGUUGAGGUCCUGCAUAGAGAACCAAAAUGAAGUUAACAUCUGCCGACAUAUGCAUUUUUUCCAAGAUGGCGAGAAACGAAUGGUGAAAGCUGUAUAGAGUUAUCUAAAACUUUGGCCAGACCAGCAACAACUCUGAGUACGCUAUCUAACCCAUUUGCCCUCUCCUUGCCUUGAUCUCCCACCAUUGGACUAAACUUUUAGACAAAUUCAAAACCAAAUUGAGUUAGGCGUUGUACCAGAGGGCAUUCUAUCCCAAAUUCUUACCGGAGCCCGUUCCACUAGUUUUGUUUCACAUUCGGAGGUUCAGAGGACAUUCUAUCCCAAAUUCUGACCGGAGUCUGUACCACUAGUUUCGCCUCACAUUCGGAGCAGUUCAGAGGACAUUCUAUCCCAAAUUCUUACCGGAGCAUGUUGCACUAGUUUUGCCUCACAUUCGGAGCAGUCCGGGCUUGCAGUUUUCGUGGCCUGCUUCAAUCAGAAGAAGCCAGCGAAGCAGUCCCAGCCUGUCCUUUCAGCUGACGCAGGCAUGCUACAGUUACGAUGAGAAGCUUUUGAAGAAGCACGCAUGGCUAUCUUCUCCUGAACUUUAUGGGCCGAUAUGAACUGUAGAAGCCAUGCCAGCAAGAGGAUUUUGAUGGUCUGUUCCAAGCGCAGAGUAGAGCCUGCCGUUCUUCCCUCUGCUAAAAGCUCAGAAAUGGCUUUCCCAUGCCUUCCCCUCCAGAGUUGAGAGCGAAUCCAUAUGCCAUGCCCACUAGCCACAGAAGAUCCUUGGGAGUCUCUCAAGUGGUUUGCCUCUGCACACGGACGGGUCACAUUCCUACCCAAGGAAAUUCAGAUAGCGUUACUCACACCAGCUGUGCUUUUUGGGGACUUGGCAUGCGGUGAACGGAGAAUCCCCUUUUGCACCUCAUAUCCAACUUCCGUGGCAACUUAUCCUGCCGAUGGAGUUUCAGUAUAACUCAUGGGGAAUCAAGAAUCUGGCCGUGGGUCUGAACCUGUUAAGAACGCAGCGUCUGAUUUACACAGGAUUCGUCUCUGGGUUUUUAGGAGGAAUUCACGAUCGACAGGGAGCCUUUCCUCCCGACCAAUAGCACAUGGUUAUUCCCCAUCCCCCACCCACCCCCCACACCCCCACGGAGCCCGAUUCUGGACUCUAGAGCCCUGUAUCUUAUUUUCUACUAGAACCUUUCAAUAUUUUAGAAUUUUAUGAGUAUAAAAUUUCAACAUUCUUUUAGAACUAUCUGAAAAUAAGAACCUAGUGGUGAUGCAAGUCAUCUGAGCAAAAGAGAGGAAAUCAAAUCGCCAAAGGAAAUUGUAAACUAACACGUACCUCCCGUCCUGCAAUCGCACGUGCACCUCAUCUUUCCAGAGGCGUAGCCGGUGGGAGAACAAAAAGUAUUCAGUUCAGAGAAAAGUAAAUAUAAUGCCCUAGGCCGUUUUUAGCCCCAAAAAAGUACUACCAAGUCCCCUUUCAAGGUCCUUGCAGCAGUAUAAUUCUUUUUUUCCGAAUGAUCUGCCUUUCCUACUAGAUGAAAGGAGAGUUGUGAGAAUAAAACACACCAGUUUAAUGUUGGCUUUGAUAAAAAAAAUCAUUAGGGUGAAAUCCGACGGCAUCCUUUGUUUUGAUGUUUUGCAUUCUCUGGUAAGCUUAGGAAUUUAGUUUGUCAUGGUUAGGGUUAGGGUUACGAUUCGAUGGAGAGGAAAAGGUGUGCUUUGAUUAUGCGUGGCAAUACUCGGUCGCGUCUUUGGCCAAGUGAGUAGAGCAGAGGGAGUUAAUCGCAUCCACGACCUAAUGAGUUGAUCGAGGGUGGUCGAUGGCCGGCUACGGUGGCGAUGACUCCUCUACGAGGAAAGCAAACAUGCAAUUUAGAUGAUUUUGCAUACAGUGACAUGUAGCGGAGGGGGGGAGGGGUCUCAUCGAUGUCGAAGGGGAGGUGAGGAGAGUUUAGAAUAUAUCAGUUUGAAUAUUCGCUUUGAUCAAAAUCAUCAGUGCGAACUCUAGUGGCUGUGGCAUCCUUGUUUGCGAGUUGCCUUCUUUGCUGAGCUUACGACUUUUGGUUUAUCCCAGUUAGGGUUAGGCCUCACCAGAGAAAAAAAAGCCACCCUUCAGCAAUGCUUAGUUGCGUCUUUGGUUGAGUAGAUAGAGCAAGAGGGAGGAGUUGGUCGAGGGCGGUUGGUUACGGUGGCGAUGGUACCUCUUAUCGAGAAGCAGACACACAAUCUGGACAACCUUGCGGACAAUGAUAUGUAGGGGUGGGUGAAUGUCUUGUCAAAGCCAUAGAAACACACAGGUGGAGACGAUGCGAUGCUAAGAAUGAUUCUUUGCUAACUCGGUUUGAAUUGACUAGUAAAUUGGUCGAUAAAUCUUUGCUAACUGGUAUCUGCUUGGUUUGAAUUGACUAGUUAAUUGGUUGAUAAAUCGGUUAAUCGACAAAUUGGUGAUCCAUCGAGCAUGGAUUAAUCGAUCAGUUAAUUGAUUUGUUUGUUAAUAUUUUGUACACCGCUAAGAGGGGAGGACUGAAGGAAGCACGAUCGGGGAUGUCAUCAACACGGCGAUGAGUAGGGUUGGUUAGGGUUUGGGAGCAGAGUUGAAUUUUUGUGUGAUUAUGGGGGAGUAUUGAUUGUUUGAUUCAAUGGCAACAAAUAGCAUCCUUUGCAUCAUAUUUGGGCCUUUGCGCUUUUUAAAUUACAAAACAUGAGGAGUAGUAGCAUCUUUUGCAUCGUAGAGGGAGCGGCUCACUCGCCCAUCAUCGCUACCACCAACGAAGAUUGUGGCAUGCGGAGCGAGCGCUCGCUUUGCUCCCACCACCAAGUUCCUUGUCAGUCACCGCGGCCCCACAUGUACUAUAUUCUUUCUGCAAAAUCGAGAUUUGAGCGGCGACGUGUCUAGCAUUGUGACCGACUGGACCGGAUUUCUUUUACCUCUCGGUCAGUUUGUCACGCAUGCGCAUGCUAAUCAGUCAGAAUUAUUUACAUUUUGCAGGGUCAGACCGUGGCCAAUUAUAUAAAUCAAAAACUAGUACUCUCCGUAUAAGAGCGUUUUUGACAGUCAUAUAUUGUUAAACUCUAAUUUUAAUUUUUAUUUGAAUGGAUUUCUUCGAAAUACAUGCGAAUUCGUCCUUUGGAUCUGGUUUCCUAGUGCUACUUCUUUUUUGUCGAUACUUUUGUUUUGUUCUUGUGUUACAUCUAUUAUUAGGAAUGCGAAUAUAAAUACGUGACCCUUUCGCAUUGACUUGUUCCUGUUGCGUUUUUUCCGCAUGGAUGUGGUGUCGCGCUGUGUGCUAACGUGUGCCGCUGGUGACAUGCCUUGCAGCUCGCCCGCUCAAGGGUCGGCAGAAGGUGCCGGAGAAGGAGAACGCCCCGGCCAGGGGCCGGAGGGGCGCCGCCGGCGCGGCCGCGAGGCUCAUGGAGAAGAUCAUGCCCGGCGCGCCCGCCAUCAAGCCCAAGGCCAGCAAGAAGGACCAGUACCUGCUCAAGCGCCGGGAAGACGCGCGCGUGCCGGCGCUGCCGCCAGCCGCGCUCCCGGACGCGGCUCCCGCCCCGGACGACGGUGGCCCGCCGCCUGGCUUCCCCCCGGCUGAGCCGCAGACGCCGCCGCUGCCCAGCAGCACCGGAGGCGCCGAUGAGGAGGAGUUUAUGCUGCAGAGACGCGCGCUCCCUCCCGCUGACCAGGCGAGCGACGGCGGGGCUACCGCGGACGCCGCAGCCGCCGCCACUGCGCCGAACAAGGUGGCCAAGCCCAAGAAGGCCCGCAAGCGCGAGAGGGAGGAGCCUGCCGAAGACGUGGCCACCGCCGACGGCGAGCCCAAGAAGAAGAAGAAAAAGAAGAAGCUCGCUGAACUCAACGGCGGCGUGCCCUCUGCCGCCCCCUCCGGCGACGGCGGCGGCGCUACAAAGCCCGCAGCUUUCUCGCCCCCCAAGGUCGACCUUGACGGAUUAGAUCUGACACAGGUAAUAUCCGACCUUCAAAACCUUCCGCUGCUUCCCUUCUACGGCGCCGGCAGACGCAUCUCUGACGCCUCUCACUCCUUCAUCCUGGCGUUCCGCUCGAAACACUACAAAAAGAGCUAUGAGAACGAUCCGCCGGAAGAGACAAAGAAGGGCUUGGAUAAUAAGCCCAAUGUCGUUGCUGCCGCCGCCGCCGUCGUCUCUGACGGCCAGCCCCCCAAACCGUUGAAGAAGAAGCCGGUCAUGAGGCCCAGCGACCCCACCAGUGCUGGCGUCAAGCGCCCGCCGUCUGACCGCCAGGAGGAGAUUGCCUCCAAGAAGAAAAUCAAGCUGGACAAGAUUAAGACUCUGGCCGCCGACAAGAAGGCCGGGCUGGAGCAGAAAGUCGUCACCGCCACCGCAGCUGCGGGAGGCGGGACGACGGCGGCGGCUCAGCUGCGGCGGGCUGGCAUGAAGGAGAAGGCUCUGGCGGCAGCCAAGAAGAAGGUGCCAGCGGCGGCGCCUGUGAAGAGGACGCCGUCGCCGACGGCGCUGAUGAUGAAGUUCCCGCUGAAGAGCACGCUGCCGUCGGUGGCCUCCCUCAAGGCGAGGUUCGCGCGCUUCGGGCCGCUCGACAUCGACGGCAUCCGCGUGUACUGGAAGUCCUACAUGUGCCGGGUCAUCUACAAGUUCCAGUCCGACGCGGAGGCCGCGCUCAAGUAUGCCAAGGCCAACGCCAUGUUCGGCCAGGUGGCCCCCAACUACUACCUGCGCGGCGUCGAGGGAGGGUCGGCCGGCGCCGACCCAGGGCCUGAGGCGGCCCCUCCGCAGCGCUCUGACCUGCGGCUCAUGGAGACCACGCCGUUCAGGCCUGGGAGCUCCGGCAAUGGCGCUCCGCUGACGCUGUCCAAGGCGGUGCCGGCGCGCAUGUCGGUUGGGCUGCCCAAGUCAAUCCUGAAGAAGAGCAACGACGAGGGCGGGUUGGCUGCGGCCAGCGCGCUCCGGGACUCCCCUCGGGUGAAAUUCGUGCUGGACGGCGGGGACAGCAUGCUCGAGCCACCUCCAUUGCCAGCGAGCUUCGACGGAAACAAUGGCCCGGACACUGCUGCACCAGUGAGCAAGAUCGCGAGGUCGCUCGGCUUCGCACAGCCGCCUCUGCAGCCGCCGGCACGCCCUGCGCAGCCCAACAUGCAGCCACUCAUGCGCCCACAGCACCAGCAACUGCAGCCGCCACGCGCACCCGAUUCACAGCCACUCCCACCACCGCCGCCGCUGCCAUACCAGCCUCGCAUCAACGAGCCAUCGUCGUACCAGCAGCCCCGCAUCAGCGAGCCAUCGCCGUACCAGUCUCGCGUCAACGAGCCACAGAUGUACCAGCCUCGUCGCACGGACGCGCCGCCAAUUUUCAACAUGCAGCCGCCGUACCAGCCUCGCCAGAGUGACGCGCCGCCACCGUUCAACAUGCAGCCGCAGUACCAGCCUCGCCACAGCGACGGACCGCUCGCGCUCCCUGGACAGCCGCCGCUGCCGCCAUACCCUCCCCGUGCCGGUUUCCCCGGACAGCAGUACUCUUCCCGCUCCGACGACAUGCCGCCGGCUCGCUUCGACAACAACGCCGGCGGCAACACCAUGCCGGUGUGGAAGAGGGGGCAGAAGGAGUUCGACGAGGAGCUGAUGAGGGUGAUGCUGGGGAUCGCCAAGCUGGUGGAGCCAUUGAUGGACAAGAACGGCAACUUCCCCUACCACCUCUUCAGCCGGUCAGCGUGAGGCGGCAGCAGCUCCAGGGCAGAGCUCGCUGCGUUGUAUCUGACUGCUGGGUCCCCGUGGCGCUGGCAGCACAGCAAGUGCGGUAGUAGUGCUAGUGACUUUGCCUCUCGAGAGAAGGACAACCAAGAUGAUGCCUCCCCUGUCAUGUAGUGUAUAAUUACCUCUUGUUUUCUCCUUUGUCAGAGCGUGUAUGAACUCUCUCGAUUCUAGUCGUCAUCAGACUGUCAAUUAAGUUGUGGUUUAAGGACAUCAAAUUGCUGUUGUAUGGUUUUUAAGUCGAAAUUAGGGUUCUGUUUAGUGUCCCAAAUGCUCGAACCUAGGCCAGCGCGAAAAAUGUACUACUCCCUUCGAUCCAAAUUUGAGAAAACUACUCCCUUCAAUCCAAAUUACUUUUUUUAAAAUAAAUAUAUCUAGCAUUAAAAUACGUCUAGAUACAUUCGUUUGGGCAACAAAUAAUAUGGAUCAAAGAAAGUAGUAGUAGCGAUUCCAACAUUAGAAGUUCUCCAUACGUACUCCGUUUUGUUAUUUGUAUAUGUUAUAGAUGAUGGAUGUUCUUAAGAGCAACUAGCAUCAUAGAAAUAUGCAGUGCUCCACACUUGGGUGAUCGAAUGCCCCAAAAGUCAAUUUCAAAUGUUUCAGAAAGAUCUGAAAAAAUGUGAAUGUUCACAAGACAUGUGUCAAAUAGCCUAUACAAAAUUUCAGAUCCAACCUCAAAAUACACAUCGAGAAACAAAAAAGAAGGCAAAUUCAACAUGAAUAGUGCCAUUGGAAGACAAGCAAAAAUGGCGCUAUUCACUUCUAGAUUUAUAUUUUUUUUUGUUUUUCAACGUGCAUUUGGAAUUUGGAUCUAGAAAAGACCAACCGGGGGUAAAGUUUCAACUUCUUACCUAGCCCUCCUCUAUUUUAAUGGUGAUGUGCUCCGUACCAGUUCCGCANNNNNNNNNNNNNNNNNNNNNNNNNNNNNNNNNNNNNNNNNNNNNNNNNNNNNNNNNNNNNNNNNNNNNNNNNNNNNNNNNNNNNNNNNNNNNNNNNNNNNNNNNNNNNNNNNNNNNNNNNNNNNNNNNNNNNNNNNNNNNNNNNNNNNNNNNNNNNNNNNNNNNNNNNNNNNNNNNNNNNNNNNNNNNNNNNNNNNNNNNNNNNNNNNNNNNNNNNNNNNNNNNNNNNNNNNNNNNNNNNNNNNNNNNNNNNNNNNNNNNNNNNNNNNNNNAACAUUUCCUGCCUCGCCCACUUGGUUUCAGCCAUGCACAUUCUUUUCUGCCGCCUCGUGGCCACACGUCUAAAACAGACAAUGAUAGGUCUAUUCAUUCUUCCGCGGUGCUUGAGAUCAAAUAUGUAAUGGUUUCACGUCAAACUUGUAUUACACAUGUUAGCCGUGCUCAGAACAUAAUUAGUCACCCAUUAGCAAAUCUUGCUCAUGUGCACGGUAGAACAGUUGUUUGGUUUAGAUAUGGUCUUUCCAAAACAGUCCAAUUCUGUAGUGCCGAAUGUAAGCCCGACAAAUAAUGAGUAUUACAAAAGUUUGCUCGCAAAAAGGAAAAAGCUUUCAAAAAAGGAUCCUUUAUAAUUUCUUCUUCUUUAGGGCAUGGACACUCUCAUAUGUAACGAGAGUGUUAUUUGUGAUUAAGCGGACCCGAAACGAACGCAAUUUGUUCUUCUCCGAUCACCUCAUCAAACGAAUCUCUGAACCUGUAGAGAUCAGGACAUAGUGCAAUAGGGCGAUGUUCACAAGUCAAUUGUGGGUUACGAACCUUUGGGAUUAGAGUAAUAACUCUGUCAUUUAGUCCCAACGGAAACUCACCCUUUCUCUCCUAAUACUUUCACAUGCAGUUCUCCUACAUGUUUCCAAAAGAGAAUGUAUGUUAGUCUUAUUACACAUACAACUAGUGCACCAGAAAUUGGAAAAGGAUAAACGUACGAGCGUCUGGACUGGACCAAAGGCCUUGAGGUUUCAUGGUGGGUUAACGACGUAGGGGCUAGGUGCUCAAAGUCCAUGAGAGAGACAUGCAGGAGACGACUAUCCACCAUCCACAUCACCCCUUUAAAAAACAUCCACACCAUCCACUAUCUAGUAUGCAUAAUUUUUAGUUUGUAGUGUGAAAGAUGAAGAACUAGCGUGAUGAUCUGAAGUCGGAAACAUUUGUUGGAUAGAGCUUCAAAGGCACCCAAGAUAACUUUGACCACAACGCCGACACGGAAGUCUUUUGAGGUUGAAGAUCAAAAUGUGAACAAUCGUGCAUGUUCUUGCAACAUAACUAAAUUGUUAGAGAUAUUGUCGCUACAAAGAAUAAUUUAUAGUUUCAUUAUCUUUAUUAUGAACUUUUAUGUCUUAUAAAUCGUUGCACUGUUUUUUUGGGACUAUGCGUACCCAUGUCGGAAAAUCCUGGCUCCGCUGCGAAUUCCAGGAUCUCAAUGAGGGGACACACAUCAACCAUGAAACAUGACCAUAACACUUGGCAUAUGGAAAAAAUGAGUGUCCCCAAGAACUUCAUGAACAAACACUAGAUCCUUAUGAACUACAGCCAGCCAUAUGCCUCAACAAUGUUCCAAUGAGAAAAGUGCAGCUCCUCUAUUUGAGAAAAUUGUCAAUGUGACAAGCAAAGCAGUGCUGGGAAAGAUGUACCGAUUUAAUCAAGUAAUAAGGGAGUAUCUGGCAAUAGAGUGGAAGGAACCAUGAUGGAGAUAUCACAUGCCACAUAGAGGAUUAUCUGCAACAUAUUUACAUUAAGUUCAUGAUGUUUUAGUCUUCUUCUUCUUCUUGCACUUCAUCAGAAAAACUGAUCAACUCAGGUUGAGAUAGAUGAUCACACAUGCUAUGUGGUAACUUCGUUAUUUUUUUAACAUAGUACAAAUGCUCAUACACUCAUCUUUAUGAGCAUCUUCAAGAGAUUGAGCCAAAACAUCAUUUAAGAUUGACGGAGUCGCCACAAACGUCUUCAUAGUCGAGGGUAACGUCCCAUCCCACUAAAGCAUAUCGCCCGAAGACAUUAAAUAAAUUCAGGAAAAUGCGACCAUCAAUGCCAAAUCUAGGAUUCGAAGACUGAUAUGAGUUGGUUCCACCACAUCAAAAUCGUCCGAUGUGUUUAAAUUUACAUCAAAUUUGUUUACUUUCGUUAAAUUUUAUUUGGAAUGUAACCGAACAUUUGCAGCUAGUUUUGAAUGACAGACUUCCACAUCAUUGACGGAUACGGCGUCCGGUUUGGGAGUUAGCGUUGGAGAUGCCCUUACCAUCUAAGCUAUUCACGACUGAUGUUUUAAGAUGAACUAACUUUGUCGACUGUCGACCACCAAUUUUUUUAACACUGUAUAGACGCAUACGCUCAUACAUACAUACAUACUAUAUAGACUCACCUAUAUGAACACAGCAUACACUAUUUUUAUGAACACCUCUAAAAGACUGAGCCGACACAUCAUCUUGAGAUUGAUGAGGUCAUCAUAGACGCCUUAGUAGUCAACAGGAACAUCUCCUCCCACUGCACAUCGCCGAAGACAUGAAAUAAAUCCAGAGAAAUGCUUGCUAUAGCUGGCCAAUUGGCCCUUUUUUUGCGCCGGCCCGUGAGCACGCCGGCACGGCCCGCCUUGGGCCAGGCAUGACACGGGCUAAAUGGGCCGGGCCCGGCACGCGACACGCCCUGGGCCGUGCCUGGGCCUAGAGGCUGGGCACGCAAGCCGGCACGACACGGCCCGGUUACGUUUUUUUUACUUUUUUAUAUAUCUAUAUAUGGCCCAACAUGUAAAAAUAGGCUAAAAAACACUCAGUGCGUCAAAUAACAGGCUGAAAAUAUACGGCCCACCAUGCUAAACGGGCCAACGUGCCGGCCCGUUUACUAACUGAGCCGUGCCUGGGCCUGGAGCGCAGCAUGUGGGCCGGCACGGCACCGCCCGUAUAGUAAUUGUGCCCUGGCGGGCCGGCCCGUUUGGCCAGGUAUGCAUGUCGAGAAAACUGGGACCACUAUUUAAACAGACAUGUAUGUAUCUGACCGUCGAUCGACCAUCUUCUUCUCGAAAAAAAGAAAAAGAAAAAACUCUUGGAUCGACCAAACCCUAGAGAAAGAGGGGCUCCUCUUCCAUGGCCGGCGGCGAUUCUUCUCCCGUGGCGGCUGCGGCUGCGGCGAGGAAGUGAGAGUGGGACCAAGAAGAGUAUCGGUGCGAGCCGGCGGAGUAUUCCGUGGAUCCGCGAUACAGCGAGUACGACCCCAAGCAGGGUGUCACACCCCAUCCUGGAUCGGGAUCGGAGAUUAGGGAAUUUCGUAGCAGGGGUUGCGAGAGACAAGAGUAUAUGCGAGGUAUAUGCUUGUGUUAGCUGUAAAGUUUGACAGAGUUGUUCAUAGGAGAAUAAUGCCCGCUAUUACAGAGUGGGGUGCUGGCUUAUAUAGCUCAGCCGGAACAGCGAAAAGAAACAGGAACGGCAAAGGGAAAAGCUACAACACGGAAGUCACUGUUACAGGCGAGCGAAGCGAGCCAUUAGAUUGCCCCCCCAAGGUGCAUCCUAACCGCACAUUAACUGAAUAUGGCUCUGCAGUGAUCCGAAACUGACACAGGGCUGUUUCAUAUGCGUCCGCUACUUCUUCGACGGCAAACUCGACCUGGACAGGAGUGUACGUUCCAAUCCAAUCCAAUCCCCCUUAUUGAUCCUUAUUGUCUUCGUUAUGCAUGUCUAGUUCAUGAUUUUUUUUUGGUAUUUCAGUUCAAAGUUCAAAUACCAGUCAGUAACUUAGUAUCACUUCAUUCCCCAAAAUCAAUCCGAAGGUUGCCUCCACUUCCUACUAGAUUUAUUCGGAAGCAAAGGCUGCCGCUUCCAAAUUCAUUCGUCAAUUAGGCUCUGUUUGGACGCUCACUACUUUUAAUUACUAUACACCCUCCGUUGCGAAUUAUAAGAUGUUCUAACCUCUUUCUGAAUUGGAUGUAUAUAGAUGCGUUUUAGUGUGUUUGUUCACACAUUUUAGUCUGUGUGUAGUCCAUAUUAAAAUAUCAAAAUCAUUUACUAGUUCGGGAAAGAGGUGAUAGUAUAUUACUAUGGAAAAGAUGGGAGCACAGCCUGCCUGGUUUGGUUUUCAAUGGAUCUGUUCCAACCAAUUUACACCUACAUACAUACUCUUCCUUUUACUCUCUUUGGUUGAUUGAGAUGAGCUUUCCUCUCGUUUGGCAGCACCUGCUGGUCCCAUGCGGCAUACUGGUAAAAUCUUCAGAGAGGGGUUCCCGCUCGCAAACUCGGUCAAUGUUGUCUCCAUCAAAUAGUUUCCUCCGACUAUGGCUAUCCACUCAGUGUUUAUCGUACCAUCAUAGCCAGGGACAGUUUAGAUAAAAAAUGUGUCUAUGUAUUCCAGCGCGACAAGGACGAUUGCCAGCUCAUCAGCUCAAAGGUUUUACUGCCAUUUGCCUCGUAGCUACAGACACAUACAACAUAUCAAUUUGUAUUUUCUUGUACUGGUACUUCCUCAUAUCAGUCCUCUGAUUUACAAAAUAAAAAAAAAC